AGUUCUUAUCAACCAACACUUUUAAUUGCAAAAAGUAAAAACCUUCAUUACAAUAAACUUUAAUUUACAUACUGUGAGUAAGGGUGGCUGCACAGGUGAGCCCCCUGCCCCAAGGAGCUGCUGUGGGGAGCGAUGGUGUCAAUGAAGCCUGGCACAGAGAAGAUGUCCCAACUCCCCAGUUUCUGUCUGAAACUCAGACCUCGGCUGGGUUCCUUUCUCCACACAGUGCUUGCCGCCAUGGCUCAUUCUUGGAUUGAUGGCUGCUGCCUGCCUGACAGACACACUAGGCAGAGGCGGAAGGGUCUCUGGUCCAGCCCUGUCAAAUCCUGACAGUUCCAGGCCUCCACUUAGUUAUGUAACAUUCCUUCCCUCCACUAGUCUGAAAAAGUCUGGACAUUUCGCAGUCUCCAGGGAGAGGAAUAUGACAGAUGUAUUUGGCACUAAUGCUUAAAUUAUGCAGGGCAGGGAAACCAGAGACACUGAGGGACCUGGACAACAGACAAGCUGGCUGAGGGUUUCUCUUCAAGGCCAGCAUUUAGUCACACUGCGUCCACGGUGGGUGGACUUGGAUGUGGUGCACGAGAAGGAGAGCACCUGUCCGUCUCCCUGACAUGCUUCUGGAAGAGGCUGCUGGGGAUGUGGAGACUGGGGGUGGGGAGUUGGUUAGGUGGUCUUAUCGUCACCCUGCAGCCCCACUUUCUCAUCCUGACAACCCUCUUUCCCACACCGGGUCAUACAGAGGGACUUUUGAUGCUUCCAGCUAGAUGGCAGGGGCAUCCUGUGGCAUCCUGCUGUGCAGGGCCUUGAUCAUCAGAAAGGGACUGGCUGGCAACCCCUAGCCACUCCUGUCGCUCUGGCCAGUAGUAGAUUCUGCUUAUCAAAAUUAACUUGAGAAGUUGAACUGCUUCUGUGUAUGUAGAAAACCCUCUUUGGAGAAUUUUCCCCUAAUACAAGUUUACAUUCAAGUCUGAACUGGGUAGAUUUUAAGUAAAAUGAGUAGUAUAUCCAUAAAAGUCUCCACUUAUCUUCUGCUACAGUCAUUUUUUGUUGAAGUACAAAAUGGGACUUAGGGGACUUUCCCACGGGAUGCCUCAGAAUACCAACACAUGCAAGGGUUUCUUAUGGACAUUUAAGAUGUGAAGGGCAAGAGUGAAAUGGGGAAAGGAAUACAGAGUAACUCACAGAAACAAAACAGAGAUCUCAGUAAUCAAAAUAGUUGCUUUGUUCCUAAGAAACCCUCUCUUUUGUUAAUGGGUCUGAUUUUUAAAAACUCUCAGAGGCCUCUAAAGCACUUGUUUACACAUAGCCCUUCCCCAUGUACAGCCAGGGUAAGGACACUGCAGAAGGCUGUAAAAGCUUGCACAAAGCCGGCCUCCAGAUGAUCCCUCUGACUUAAAACCUCUUAAAUCAUAACUGCUUAACAACAUGACUUUCAUACGUACACAAGUUUUGUUGUUCCUGUAUUCAUCCACACAAGGGGUUGAUUAAGAAAAAAUUCCCUCAGGUACAGUUCAUCGGAGUUUCACUGAAGCCCGUGGAGGAGGCUCUGAUGUUUCUAUCCUGAGCUCUGUGAACUCUGCUUGUCCUUUGCAAGCCCAUAGACAAACAGGCCAUUCAAGUGCUCAAUGGUCCCCACUGCUGUUCAUGAGACCCACAGAGAAAGAGGGCCUGAGAGAUGAGAUGCAGGCUCCUCCAGGAAUGAAGAGGGCUUCACAACCAUCUUCACUCGUCAUUGUCUGCCUCUGAUCCAUAAUUCUGACAUAGACACCUACUGCAUCCUUUGAUUUCUGCAAUUCAGAACCAGAGGCCAAAGUGUAGUUUGCUUUUUCUUCAUCUUGGCAAUGGCAUGACCAGUGGCCAGCUAUCUAGUGGUGUCAAUAAAAGAAUAAUAAAGAGAGAAAAAAAUAAAAGGAACAGGAAAAGAACAUCCUUAUUUACACCAUUUGAUUGCUACCUACUAAAAGCACUUAGGAGAAAACAAUGCACAUAGUGAAUCAUCCAAUCAGAAACACACAGCUUUAUAUUAUUACAAAAAAGAAAAACACCUCACCUUGUCUUUGUUUCGCAGCACAGACAG
This 2077-nucleotide long non-coding RNA is filed under the name Homo sapiens (human). RNAcentral describes it as "HSALNT0105615". The record is from RNAcentral. Lineage: Eukaryota; Metazoa; Chordata; Mammalia; Primates; Hominidae.